UAUGUAUGACAAUGUUUCUUCGCAGUUUUCCCUUACCUUCACAGGAACCUACUCAUUUAUACCAGUCCGGUGACAAGGUGUAUAUCCGUCAGCUGAACAGGACCAAGAAAGGAGGAUACCCUUUUGGACCACCUGCUACUGUGAUUGCUGUAACCAGAACCGCUGUCCUCACAGAUUCCCACGACAUCUGGAUUCACGCAUCCCGAGUGAAGCUGUGUCCAAAGAGGGGAACCAAGGAAGACAAGACCACUCCUCGCUCGGAAACAGAAGAAUUUCUCCUCAGCGAAGCAUCAUGGCUUUUACACCAUAUCGUAGAUUGAGAGGAUCAUACGUACCUGAGACCAAGAUUAUGUUGUGCGCUAUGCUUUCUGGAGUUGUUAUACUCCCUCUGAUAUUGUUCCUUGAAUGCCAUUAUGAGUACAAGUCAAUGGCAAGUUCUGGAAAAAGACUCUGACAUGAUGAACAAUUCUUCAAUACCCCCAGCCCAAUUAGGCCUUAGCCCCUCAUCUAGCAUUCGUCACACACGCUCCCUCAAGAACCUUUCUCCACCACCUAUCUAUCAGCAUGUAAUAUGCAAGCACUCAUUGACUGAACACAUAUGGAUGAACUGGAUAAAUAAUAACCCUUAUAAGUACCAGUUACCCAUAUGGAAUGUGUCCACAGCUAAUGAAACCAAUGCAUUAUGUUUGUUUGAAGGUUCACGGAAAAUUGUUAGAUCUUAUAUCACAGGAACUUGCACAAUUAAGGUUGCAUAUCAAUGUAAACAGACAGGCCUUAUUACUUUUAAUAAUGAUUAUACAACUG
Pelobates cultripes (western spadefoot toad) is the source of this 804-nucleotide non-coding RNA. NCBI's taxonomy places the organism in Eukaryota, Metazoa, Chordata, Amphibia, Anura, Pelobatidae. The record is from the annotation of a GenBank genome assembly.